Aquila chrysaetos chrysaetos is the source of this 277-nucleotide long non-coding RNA. RefSeq lists it as uncharacterized. The record is from RefSeq and is a predicted model, not a curated record. The transcript is spliced from 3 exons. NCBI's taxonomy places the organism in Eukaryota, Metazoa, Chordata, Aves, Accipitriformes, Accipitridae.
AUCCACUGGAUUUCGAACUGGCAAAGGAGAUAAAGAUCACGUUAAUUCGGGUCGGGGGGGGGUCACGCUGGCCGAGGGUGGAGUAGGAGGGACACUGGUCAGCUAACGGCGUGUUUUAAAAGUCAUCACGGUUUCCAGAGGGCUGAGACUAGACCACAAGAGGCAGCAUGCUCGGGUUUUUUACCUGUUAUCUGACACCACGAUCUAACGCUCUGCUGAGUCAAAAGACGGAAUGAACAAGGCCGUGGAAAUGGUUCCCGUACUGCAGAAACUGUAA